This 65-nucleotide ribosomal RNA is filed under the name Craterellus cornucopioides var. mediosporus. Its description in RNAcentral is "partial 25S ribosomal RNA". The record is from RNAcentral. Lineage: Eukaryota; Fungi; Basidiomycota; Agaricomycetes; Cantharellales; Hydnaceae.
UCCAAUGAUCCUUAUUAAAGGAUAAGGCCCCCCUCCUGGCCUUUUUCAAUGUAUAUCAAUGACCU